UACGUAGGUGGCAAGCGAUACUCGGAAUCACUAGGCGUAAAGCGCAGGUAGGCGGUUUGGUAAGUCUUUUGUGAAAGCUCCCGGCUUAACUGGGAGAGGUCAAGGGAAACUACCGGACUAGAGUGCGGUAGGGGAUACUGGAAUUCCUGGUGUAGCGGUGAAAUGCGUAGAUAUCAGGAGGAAUACCUAUGGCGAAAGCAGGUAUCUGGGCCAUCACUGACGCUGAGCUGCGAAAGCUAGGGGAGCAAACAGG
RNAcentral lists this ribosomal RNA (253 nucleotides) under uncultured prokaryote. RNAcentral's name for it is "partial 16S ribosomal RNA". It matches the Rfam family "Bacterial small subunit ribosomal RNA", at positions 524 to 776 of the family's 1533-position model. The record is from RNAcentral.